Molecule: long non-coding RNA, 809 nt
Filed under: Carica papaya (papaya)
Lineage: Eukaryota; Viridiplantae; Streptophyta; Magnoliopsida; Brassicales; Caricaceae
Description: long non-coding RNA (CPAP_LNC001031)
Source: RNAcentral
UAUUGGUAGUUUGGGGUUUUUAGUGUGGUAGCUCUAUCGUCCCUCCCUUGCGGUUGUAUUUUUUCUUCGUUACCUGCAUCAAAAGCAUGUUAGGAAAUCAAUGGUUAAAAAAUAGAAAGGAAAUAUAAGAGGAUUUGGGCUCAUCGGAAGAGUUUUUAAUUUCAGGUAUGGCGACUCGACCUAGCUCUGCCCUCAAUUGUUUGCUUCUCCUUUGGUCUUUCAGCAUCGAUAAGGGUUUGUGGUCACUUAAAAUUAGAAAACAAAGUGAACAGGAAGAAAAAUACUCACCUUUCGGCAUCAGUGAUGGGUUCUGAUACGGCAGCGAUGGCGACCAAUCUCUUUUUUCGGUGACUAGUUCACUUUCAUGCCGCCCCUCUUCUUCUUCUCUGAUUUUCCUUAGCAGCUAGGUUUUUGAUGGUCUAGGUAGAGAGGUUUAAAUAUCUCUCCACUUUUGAUCUGGGCCGUCUAUUUGAGGCUGCGUGACCCAAUCUCUACUGCCAAAUCUAUCUUAUUUAGGAAACAAAUCAGAGCCAUCCAAUUGGAGGUAUGUGGACCGUUCGACCACGCUUGAAGGGGAAAUAUAUCUUGCUCAUUUGUGCAUGCGGGUAUGAAUCUGGACUAUUGGAUCGGUUGGUACACAGAUUGCCUGCAUGGCCUCUCGCGUUGAAUGCAUAUCCAUGUGUCUGCCACGAGGCGUAGGACUACUGGCCGUGCUGCUGACGUGGCCGUCCCAUGUGGCCAUUUUUCUCCUUUUUUGCACUUUUGUCCCAAUUUUUAAAUUUGUAUUUUCAAAUAAGUCAUUCCUUAUU